This 817-nucleotide ribosomal RNA is filed under the name uncultured bacterium. Its description in RNAcentral is "bacterial SSU rRNA". It matches the Rfam family "Bacterial small subunit ribosomal RNA", at positions 8 to 796 of the family's 1533-position model. The record is from RNAcentral.
AGAGUUUGAUCAUGGCUCAGAAUCAACGCUGGCGGCGUGCCUAACACAUGCAAGUCGAACGCGAAAGUGGAGCAAUCCAUGAGUAGAGUGGCAAACGGGUGAGUAACGCGUGGGUGACCUGCCUUCGAGUGGGGGAUAACGCUCCGAAAGGGACGCUAAUACCGCAUAACAUCCUGCCUUUUAAGAGGUGGAAAUCAAAGCCUGGGACCGCAAGGCCAGGCGCUUGAAGAGGGGCCCGCGUCUGAUUAGCUAGUUGGUGGGGUAAUGGCUCACCAAGGCUUCGAUCAGUAUCCGGCCUGAGAGGGCGGACGGACACACUGGGACUGAGACACGGCCCAGACUCCUACGGGAGGCAGCAGUGGGGAAUUGUUCGCAAUGGGCGCAAGCCUGACGACGCAACGCCGCGUGGAGGAUGAAGAUCUUCGGGUCGUAAACUCCUUUCGAUCGAGACGAACGGCUUCCGGGUAAUAUCCGGGAGAGUGACGGUACCGAGAGAAGAAGCCCCGGCUAACUCCGUGCCAGCAGCCGCGGUAAUACGGGGGGGGCAAGCGUUGUUUCGGAAUUACUGGGCGUAAAGGGCUCGUAGGUGGCCAACUAAGUCAGACGUGAAAUCCCUCGGCUUAACCGGGGAACUGCGUUCUGAUACUGGAUGGCUUGAGUUUGGGAGGAGGGGACGCGGAAUUCCAGGUGUAGCGGUGAAAUGCGUAGAUAUCUGGAGGAACACCGGUGGCGAAGGCGGCGUCCUGGACCAAACACUGACACUGAUGAGCGAAAAGCCAGGGGAGAGGCAAACAGGAAUUAGAUACCCCGGUAGUCC